RNAcentral lists this ribosomal RNA (461 nucleotides) under uncultured bacterium. RNAcentral describes it as "bacterial SSU rRNA". It matches the Rfam family "Bacterial small subunit ribosomal RNA", at positions 28 to 507 of the family's 1533-position model. The record is from RNAcentral.
GAUGAACGUUGGCGGCGUGCCUAAUACAUGCAAGUCGAACGAAGACUGUAGUAAUACUGUCUUAGUGGCGAACGGGUGAGUAACGCGUGGGUGACCUGCCCCGAAGUGUGGGAUAACAGUUCGAAAGAACUGCUAAUACCGCAUAAUAUCCAAGAGAUUAGACGCUUUUGGAUUAAAGGAGAAAUUCGCUUCGGGAGGGGCCCGCGUCCCAUCAGCUAGUUGGUAAGGUAAUGGCUUACCAAGGCGAUGACGGGUAGGGGACCUGAGAGGGUGGCCCCCCACAAUGGAACUGAAACACGGUCCAUACACCUACGGGUGGCAGCAGUAGGGAAUAUUAGUAAUGGGCGAAAGCCUGAACUAGCAACGCCGCGUGUGCGAAGAAGGCCUUCGGGUUGUAAAGCACUUUUUGUAGAGGAUGAGGAAGGACGGUACUCUCAGAAUAAGUCUCGGCUAACUACGUG